This 822-nucleotide ribosomal RNA is filed under the name Niphargus lunaris. Its description in RNAcentral is "partial 28S ribosomal RNA". It matches the Rfam family "Eukaryotic large subunit ribosomal RNA", at positions 374 to 809 of the family's 3401-position model. The record is from RNAcentral. Lineage: Eukaryota; Metazoa; Arthropoda; Malacostraca; Amphipoda; Niphargidae.
CUCUGAAGAGAGAGUCAAAGACCGUGAAACCGCUCAGAGUAUAAGCCAAUGGAGCUUGGAAGGCUUCCACAGACAAAGGCAUCCCUUGCGGUGUUUAGAAGACCUUGAGUCUCGCUCGUCAGGCGACAGAUUUGAGUAUGCCGACCAGCUGUCGUGCGGGGGUUCGGUUUGGAGGUCUCAGGCUUCGGCCGAAGCGUUCCGGCUGUCCCCUUUUGAAUGGACGUUCAGAGCUCUUGUGUCUAAUGUGGUUAUAUGCCCACCACAGCACGUUGUGAGGUCACCCACAGGCUCAAACUGCCGAUCGCGCAUCCAGGACGAUGGCAACGAUGCGUUGUGUAAGAAUGAAGCGGGUCUUCACCCACACGCGUGUCUAGUCCUGGGUCGGGCGGCGACCGAGAUAAACCUGGUAUGAUCCUCUUGCGACGAGCUGCUUUCUGGCCAGACCGACGCCCAGACGCUUCCACUGUGCCGGAAGCGUCAAUCCCAGGCGGUGUGAACCCAGCUGCAUUAUGCAAGGUCUCUCAGCCGGGCGUUGGUCUGAGUGGUGUCAAGUCCAGCACCAUCGGUCACGUCUCGAAACACGGGCCAAGGAGUAUAGCAUGUGUGCAAGUCUAAGGGUCUCACAAAACCCGAUGGCGUAGUGAAAGCAAGACUGUGGCGGGGGAGCUACGGCAAACCCGCCGGCCCAGGUGGCGCUUGCGUCACCUGGCUUUACAGAGCUGAUCCUGACUUCCUUAAUGCAGGCGCAAGCUCCGGGCUCACGUACAACACUGGUCAUGCCUCGUGUGUGGCUGUGUUGUGAGCACCGUUGAGCAUACAUGC